RNAcentral lists this ribosomal RNA (406 nucleotides) under uncultured bacterium. RNAcentral describes it as "bacterial SSU rRNA". It matches the Rfam family "Bacterial small subunit ribosomal RNA", at positions 359 to 765 of the family's 1533-position model. The record is from RNAcentral.
GAAUAUUGCACAAUGGGCGCAAGCCUGAUGCAGCGACGCCGCGUGUGGGAUGAAGGUGCUACGCCUCGUAAACCACUGUAGCCCGGGACGAAAAACGCCUUAGAGGCGUUAGACGGUACCGGGAAAGUAAGGGUCGGCUAACUACGUGCCAGCAGCCGCGGUAAUACGUAGGACCCAAGCGUUGUCCGGAUUUAAUGGGUGUAAAGGGUGCGCAGGCGGAUGGGUAAGUCCGGGGUGAAAGUCUGCAGCUUAACUGUAGAAUUGCCUUUGAUACUGCUCAUCUUGAAUGUGGGAGAGGUUGAUGGAAUUCCAGGUGUAGCAGUGAAAUGCGUAGAUAUCUGGAAGAACGCCAGUGGCGAAGGCGGUCAACAGGCCCAUAACUGACGCUCAUGCACGAAAGCGUGGG